This 10504-nucleotide long non-coding RNA is filed under the name Octopus vulgaris (common octopus). The record is from RNAcentral. Lineage: Eukaryota; Metazoa; Mollusca; Cephalopoda; Octopoda; Octopodidae.
GCCUUGCUAGCGACAGUGUAAGUAAAAGAGAUUUCCAUUUCAUUUUAUAAACACACUGGAUGUAUAUAUGUGGCUGUAUAUAUUGUAUAUUAUGUCAUAUCAUGUAUGUGUUGUAUAUAGACUGAUAUUUAGCGUGCGGUAACGGAGACGUUGGAGAGAUUUAACAUUUCUCUAUUUGUGGUUUUGUUCAGUUUUUUUUAGAUUUAUUUUAAUUUUUAAAUUUUUUUUUGAGAUUGCUGAAAACCAUUUUAUUAAAGGCGCACACACAUGUAUAUAUGUGUGUAUAUAAAUAUAUACACACAUAUGUAUAUAUAUUUACAUUAGCGCGCACACAAUGUAUAUGUGUGUAUAUAUUAUAUAUAUAUAUGUGUGUGUGUAAAUAUACACACACUCACACACAUAGAAAGGUGUGUAUAUUUAAAUAGUUAUAUAAUGACAUCAAUAUAUACAUGCGUAUGUGUGUAGAUGUGUGUGAAUAUGAAAUUACUAAUCGACGAAGAAGACUUAGAACUUUUAAUUCAGUUUUGAUCGUUCGUAGAAGUGUGUGUAUGGAGAUAUAUAUGUGUGUGUGUGUAUCCAUGCUUGUGUGUAUAUGUAUACAUUAGAGUAUAUAUAUAAAUAUGUAUGCGUGUAUGCACGCCCUUGGUUGGAACAAUAAAUGUGUUUCUGUGUGCGCGCGCGUGUAUAUAUAUAUAUAUAUGUGUGUGUGUGUGUAAUCUGUACAUAUAUCUGUUCGUAGUUUAUUUGUUGCCAAAUGAGAAGGAAGUGAAAUAUAAAUUGUCGCUAUUGUUUAAUCCCAGGUAAACCCUGAUUGUUCACUUCUGUUAUUGAAGGCGUUCCAACUGCAACCAUCCCUCCUUUCAUGUUUUAUAUCUACCUUGGAGUAUACUGGUCAACAUGUUGGUCUCUUGAAAGACCGGUAGGUUAUGAUUGGAGUGAAUUUGGCUGUUAUUUUCAGCAGGUCGUGUGACCGCCUACUGGUACAUGAAGUAGUUUUACACCGUGGGUGUCUGUGUGGGUGUGCAGAUAUUUUUAAAUCACACACACACACAUAUAUACACGUGUGUCUCUGCAUCUAUGUAUGUAUAUAUGCAUGUGUUUGUGUGUGGCUGUCACACUCAUACACAAAGAAUAUAAGACAGUCCAAACAUGAACUGAAGGGUCAUUCGAAACAUUCAAGUACAUUAUAAAAUUUAUUCUCGCCAUACUAAAGGCUGACAGUGAUUUCGAAGGUUCGCCGAUCAUAGCUUUGUCAGAUUGUGAGUGUGUGUGUGUACAUACAAAUCUUGGGAAUUUUCUUAAAAAUGGGACAAAUGAAUCGCUUCUUUAUUAAACAAUUAUAUAUUUAUACACGUGUGUAUAUAAUUACACAUUACACACAUACAUACAAGUAUACACACACACAUAAAUAUACACACACACAUAAAUAUACAUGUAUGUGUGUGUGUAUGAGGUAGUCUUUGUUUACAUCAUAUUCCCCUUUAUAAAAAUCAAUACAUCUAUAUAUCUAGUGUGUAUACAUGUAUACGUGUGUAUUAUGGCUGUGUAAUCUGUAUGUGCCUACAAAAUAUUUUUCCUAUAAAUUUUCGUUUCUUUCGAAUAUUUCUUCCUUCUCUCGUUCUUUUCAUAAACUUGUAUCACCCAUCCAUCCCUCUAUCUAUCUAUCUACCUAUCCAUCCAUCCCUCUGUCUAUCUAUCCACUCAUCCCUCUAUCUACCUAUCCAUCCCUCUAUCUAUCUACCUAUCCAUCCAUCCCUCUAUUUAUCUAUCCAUCCACCCACCCCUCUGUCUAUCUAUCUAUCUAUCUAUCCACUCAUCCCUCUGUCUCUCUCAAUCUAGCUAUCUAUCCCUCCGUCCGUCCGUCCGUCCGUCCGUCCGUCCGUCCGUCCGUCCGUCCAUCCAUCCAUCCAUCCAUCCAUCCAUCCAUCCAUCCAUCCAUCCAUCCAUCCAUCCAUCCAUCCAUCCAUCCAUCCAUCCAUCCAUCCAUCCAUCCAUCCAUCUAUCUAUCUAUCUAUCUAUCUAUCUAUCUAUCUAUCUAUCUAUCUAUCCGCAUGUGUGUGAGUGUAUGAGUACACAUACAUGUGUAUAAUAAGUGUGUGUGUUUAUAUUUGUAUAUGUGCUCAAGUUGUAUGUGUUAUGUCAGUUGUGUGUGCGUGUUGAGUUUUUAUAAUAUAUAUAUAUAUAUAUGUGUGUGUGUGUGUGUAGAGAGAGGAGAGAGAGAUUAUAGUGUGUGCGUUUGUAGUUAAAGCUAUAGUCUUUACAUUGAUGUUUCUUCCACCCAUAAGUUCCACAUCUUCGUCUGUGUUUUCUUCGGUAACUGGUUUAGUUUUUCUUCUCUCCUAAUCUUAUAUCUAUCGUUCACACACACACAUACACUCACGUAUUUAUUUAUUUUCAUUUCUUAACUGUUCACGAAUCUUUUGUGUUGCUAAAAUCUUCGAAAUCUGACAAUUUCUCAGCACCAACCCCUAGUAACCGCCAACAACACCAAUACGGCCCCACCCGCAUUCUGAAUGACGGGGUACAGCGGCACCCUGAUUGACACACACACACACACAACAAUCACGUACUUUAUUUCUGCCGCUUUCGUUUGAUUUUACAAAAUACACAAAUCUAACGUGGAUUAAGAACAUCUAUACACAUACAUACGCAUUAACGUAUAUAAAUAGUACGUGUAUGUAUACACACACACACACAAGCAUAAGCUUUCUUUGUUUUUCCGCUCUUUUUUAAUCAUACACAUCCGUAUAUAUCUGCAAAUAUAACUAUAUAUAUAUAUUCUCCGACACAUCGUCAUAUGCGAGACACACACACAAUCAUGUAAACUCAAAACGUAAACACACAGCGAUAUAUAUUCCAACACGCACACACAUGUAUGCAUAUAUACAUAUAGUCAUACACACGCACAUAUCUACCCCGUUUAUAUAUAUAUAUAUACAUACAUACGUAUACACACAUAUACAAACUACAUAUUUUAAAAAAUUAAUAUAGAAGCUUUAAUUAAGCCUAAUUAAAUCCACUAAUCAACGUACAUUCUCACCCUCUUUCUCUCUGUCUUUGUUUUUUUCUCUUUCUAUCUAUUUUUGUUUUUUACUCUGCCUUUCUCUCUCUCUCUCUCUCUCUCUCUAACUGUCGGACUACGCUCUUCGCUCUAUCUCUCUAAAUUCCUCUCUCACUCUGUAUUUCUCUAUCUAAAUACUUCUCUCUCUCCCUCCCCCCCUCCUCCCACCCUUUCCUUACAAAAUUAAGCAGACUUCAAAAUUCUCCAGUUUCACAAUAACCAAUAAAAAUUCACCGUUUUUUUUUAUUCCCCCCUCCCUCCCUACCUUCACUCUCUGAAUUAAUUAUUUCAGAGGAGAGAGAGAAGAAAAAGAUUAGGGAGAAAGAGAGAGAGAGAGAAGGAAAAGAAUAGAGAGAAAGAGAGCGAGAAGAAAAAGAUAAGAGAGAGAGAGAACGAGAUAAAAGGGGGUGGUAUUAGAGGAAAUGAGACAUCACUUCCACAUACAUAAAUAAACACACAUAUACACACACACACUUUUUUCAUCUUAUUUCUCCUGCGUGUGUGUCAGAAUAUGUAUAUCAUAUUUGUGUAUGUGUCAUACGUACACUGUGUGUGUGUAUGUAGUAUUUAAAUGUAUAUGUAAGUUAGAUAUGUGAGUAUAUAGAAUUAAAAUUUGUAGAAGCAGCCUUAUUUUCCUUAUUUUUUAAAUUUCAUUUUUAAUUUUCUGUGUCAUAUUUCCUUCGCAUGGACAUAAGGAGUUUAAUUAAAAUGUUUCCGGCUUAUAAUAUUGAUUGUCUGCUUCUCUUUUUCUUCAUCCUCUCCUUCCCUCUUUCUCUUCUUCCUCUCCCCCCUCUCUCUCCCUUCCCCUCAUUCUCUGUUUGACUGCCUGUCUGUCCGCCAGUUUAGAAACCAAAAAAAAAGAAGAAACCACUACUACCACCACCACCACCACCACCACUACUACUACUACUACAAUUUCCUGUAUUGUUCACAUAAUUCAAGUCUUUCUUUCCAUUUCAAUAAUGGAAUUAUAAUUAUAUACAAAUAUAUACAUAUACAUACACACACACAUAUAUAUAUAUAUAUAUAUAUAUAUGAGCAGGAGGUAAGGUUAUUUAUAUAUUUCUCUCUCUUUCAGAUACACAUGUGUGUGUGUGUGUGUGUGUGUGUGUGUGUGUGUGUGUGUGUAUGUAUGUAUGUGUAUAUAUAUAUAUAUAUAUAUAUAUAUAUAUAUAUGUAUUACUUAUUAUACUCAGAAAAUAUUGACUUUUAAUAUAUAUAUUGUGUGUGUGUGUGUGUGUGUGUGCAUGUAUGUCUCUUUUGACUCCCUUAGACGAUGCUACAACUUUUCCCCUUCUAUAUUAACUACAUACACACACGCACACUCAUCUACAUGUGUGUGUAUGUAUGUAUAUAUAUAUAUAUACAUACACACAGACAGACAGAAAGAAAAAGCGAGAGUGUGUGUAUAUGUAUCUAUCUAGAUAUGCAUCUACACUCACACUCAUGUGUGUAUAUGUGUGUGUAGGUGUCUUAUUCACUGUUAUUCUACACAAACACAUGAUAUCCGUUAUUGAAAGAAUGCCAAAUUAACAAUCUAAAAUGGUUUUGUAGCCACAGGCAGGAAGCCAAAGAUCUACAAAGAAAGGGAGGAUGUGCGUAGUUGUGACAUUCAUGGCUUUCUCAAAGAUGUUAACUGGUAUGGAUGUGGACUUAAGUUUGUUUAGCACUACUUCAGGUUCAAUUCUACUGUGCAGUACAUCUGUGGGAAAGUAUCUUGUACCAUAUCAUUGAAUUGAUUAAAAUCUUAGGAAUGAUUUGACUGAUGCAAAUUUUGUGGAAACCCAUCAGAAAAUCUGUAUCCACUGUUGGGUGGUGGAGUUAAUUCACCAUCUAGUUUUACAAACACCACCACCACUACCCAAUCCUUGGCUGUUUUUUUGUAGCAGAUUAUUCCUUGUUACAGACAUUCAUGCCAAGUCUCUGGUGUAAAGCUUCCUGUUUUGGAAGGUCCCUGUGAAGGGCCAUAGCUACAUCCCUUCUUUCUCUGACUAAAACUUUGCUUAGCCUUCAUUCACGAGUAAUUAUGAUUUGGUAACAUUACCAUGCUUUGGCUAAUUGUUUUAGGGGGCCUGUAUAAUCACAGGUAGACAUAGCCACCUUCUUGGCCCUCCUUAUCCUUCAUCCAGCAGAUCAUUCAGAAUAUGAGAACUGAGGUGAGAAACAGCUGCCCCAGCAAAUGACUGGUACUUAUUUUUUGCUGAGUAAACUGGAGCAAUGGGAAAUGAAGUGACUUGCUGAAGGUCACAAUCAUAAGGUCCUGGAAUCAAAGCCACGACCCUUAUGAUUGUGAGCCCAACACUCUAAACACAAGUCACUGGUGACCUGAGCCAAGCUGACCCAAGCCACCGUUGACCUUCAGAAACUCACACCUUUUUAUGGCUUUUGGGAAAUCCCUGAAGACUUAAAAGUUUCAAUGUAGAACAUGAAGAGGAAAACAAAGUGUGUUGGACUCUUUUUUUUAACAAGUUAACCUUUUUGUCACCAUAUUUCUGUUGAAACACAUGUUUUUGUUUUAAUUAAUUUUGAAAAUAAUGAAAGCUUUAGUCAAAUUAUUCUGUCACUAUUAAGCUUGUAUUUUGAAUACAAAUUAAGAUGAAAUUUUAAGUGAGGAUUUUUAUUUAGAUUAUUUUAAAUCAGGAAGUUUUAUCAUAGAACCAGAAGUAGUCUCAGGUACAGCAAAGGAGUCAAACAUGCCCUCCACCUUGAUGCAAGCUGAUAUUUACUCAUCCACUUUUAUUUUCUCUAUAACUUUGUACAUUCAAUACAACAUGUUGUGCACAUCAUGUAGCAACGCACUCUUUAGACAUGUUUUCUGCUCCUUAAACACAGGUAUGGCUUUGUGGUCCUGUGGAUACAGGGUUUGCCUUAUGUCCAUGUGGUUUUGCGAUCAAUCUCUGUGCCACCUUAGGCAAAUGUCUUCUAUAGCUUCAGAUGGACCAAUGUCUUGUGAUUGGAAUUGGUCAAUGGAAAUUGUAUAGAAGCCUGUUAUGUGCGUGUGUGUGUGUGUGUGUGUGAAGGUAUUUGGCUCAUGAUCGUAAGGUCAUGAUUUCGAUUCCUGGUAGCACACUUUGUAUCACGUUGCUCUACUCCAUUCAGCUGAUAAAAACGAGUGAUACCAGAAAUUCAGAGGGGCCAGGCUUGACACACUCUGUGUCACACUGAAUCUCCCUGAGACCCAAGGGUAUGUUUGUCUAUUGUGUGCUCUGCCACUUGCACGUUAAUUUCAUGAACAAGCUGUUCUGUUGAUUGGAUCAAUUGGAGACCCUCAUUUUCAUAACCAGCAGAGUGGUGCCAAUGUGUGAUUUGGAAAUGUAACAGAAUGGGUAAAGUAAUAUUGCUGUGGGGAGUGGACAGUCACUAGAUUGUGGCCAUGUUGGGGCACCACCUUAAAGAGUUCUUUGUCGAAUGAAUCAACACCAGGAAUUAGAUUUCUUUAAAGCUUGAUACUUAUUCUAUCAAUGUCCUUUGUAUGUAUAUAUAUAUAAAAGACUUUUUUCUAUUCCCUAAUACAUCUGUUUGUUAUACUAAUACAUCUGUUUGUUUUGUACACCACCUGUCUUCGUCUUAUGUUUUUUUCGUAAACUCUCCCUAUAUAUCUAUAUAUAUGAAACUUAAGGAGUGGCUGUGUGGUAAGUAGUAUGCUUACCAACCACAUGGUUCCGGGUUCAGUCCCACUGUGUGGCACCUUGGGCAAGUGUCUUCUACUAUAGCCUCAGGCCGACCAAAGCCUUGUGAGUGGAUUUGGUAGACAGAAGCUGAAAGAAGCCCAUUGUAUAUAUGUAUAUAUAUGUGUGUGUCUGUGUUUGUCCCCCCAACAUCGCUUGGCAACCAAUGCCAGUGUGUUUACGUUCCCGUAACUUAGUGGUUCGGCAAACGAUCCUGGUAGAAUAAGUAUUAGGCUUACAAAGAGUAAGUCCUGGGGUCAAUUUGCUCAACUAAAGGCGGUGCUCCAGUAUGGCCAUAGUCAAAUGACUGAAACAAGUAAAAGAGAAAGACACCAUUCUGCUCAAAUAAUGGAACUGCGGAUACAAUAUCUUUAAGUAUCUCACCUCUAUUUUCAUCCCUCUACUUCACUCUGUAUUUCAUAUCUUCUCUAUAAUAACUAUUGCUUAAUUUUCUCACACCGUCUCUGAUGAAGGGAUAUAUAAAAUAUCCCGGAAACAGCUGUAAGACCUCUUUAUAAAAGUUCCGAAAUCUUCCACAGCCUUGGAUUUUUAUCUCAUUCUGUUAAUUUUUUAUAUACACACAUGCUGAUAUAUGACCUACGUUGGACUUCUCAUUUGCAUAAUCACCGAACCUGGAGCUUAACUAUAGUCUGUCCAUAGCACUUACUCAGCAUUACCGGACAUCUUUGGGUGUUCUUGACACCAUUACCUCUCAUAACCUCGAUAUACAUAUAUAUGUGUGUGUGUAUAUAUAUGUGUGUGUGUGUGUGUGUGUGUAUAUGUAUAUAUAUAUAUAUAUAUAUAUAUAUAUAUAUGUGUGUGUAUAUAUGUAUGUAUAUAUUACAUGUGUAUAUAUAUGUAUUUCGUGGCACUCUGUCAGUUACGACAACGAGGAUUCCAGUUGAUCCGAUCAAUGUAACAGCCUGCUCGUGAAAUUAACGUGUAAGUGGCUGAGCACUCCACAGACACGUGUACCCUUAAUGUAGUUCUCAGGGAGAUUCAGCGUGACACUGAGUGUGACAAGGCUGGCCCUUUGAAAUACAGGUACAACAGAAACAGGAAGAAAGAGUGAGAGAAAGUUGUGAAAGAGUACAGCAGGGUUCACCACCACCCCCUGCCGGAGCCUCGUGGAGCUUAAGGUAUUUCCCCUCAAUAAGUACUCACAAUGCCCAGUCUGGGAAUCGAAACCGCGAUCCUAAAACCGCAAGUCCGCUGCCCUAACCACUGGGCCAUUGCACCUCCGCAUAUAUGUAUAUAUAUAUAUUAUAUGUAUAUAUAUGUAUAUGUAUAUAUGUACAUGUAUAUAUGUAUAUAUAUAUAUAUAUAUGUGUAUAUAUAUAUAUAUGCAUAUAUAUGUCUGUGAAUGUGUGUUGACAUUUUAUGUUUUUGCAUGAGCAAAGAAACCUUAGUGCCAUGUUUAAAUUCCCCCUGUGAACAGUACCAAAGCUCUGUACUUUCAAAUUUUAGCAGAAGAAAGAAAGAAAUCUUAUAAAACAGCUGAGGGUUGGUGACUGGAAGGGCAUCCAGUUAUAAAAUAUUGCCUCAUAUAAAGCAGCCUUCCAACCCUUACCAGCAUGGAAAAGCAGACAUAAAAACGGGUGAUUGAAUCAUGUAACAUCAUGUUGCAACUUAUUCCUUGGACAUGUCAUGCCAUCAUGUAGCAUAACAUGGAUCAUUUCACCUACCAUGUAACAACAUAUUCCUUAUACAUGUUAUACACCUUAACCCUUUAGCAUUCAGAUUACUUUGCCAAAUAUAUUGCCAUUGUUUUGAAUUUAAUCCUGCUUUAUUCCCUGGCUUUGAGAUUUCAAUGAUGCGAUUGUUUAUUCUUUGAAUAACAUUGUAAGGGAGGUGUGAGAAGCCUGAUCUGGCUGGUUUGAACAUGGACCAGGUAGAAUAUUUAGGCUAGAUACGACUGGUUUAAAUACUAGAGGGUUAAAGGUAUCGCACUGCCAUGUAGUAGCACUUAACCUCUCAUAUACUUUAUAUUCCAUGAGUAUGUCAUACCACCAUGUAGCAACUUAUCCUUCAUUCUAUGUUUAUACUCAGGUAUUUUAGAGCACCAUGCAGCAAUACACUCCUUACAUGUCGCACAAAUCAUGCAUCAUCUUAUUCCUGAGACAUGGAGCCUCAUCACCAUGUAGCCAAAUACUCCAGAGAUGUUAUACAUGGUUUGACAUUUACGCAAUAACAACACUGCUGCUGUUGUUGUUUAACCCCAAUUGGACCCUUUUCUGAGAAGACCUAUCAUGUAAGAUUAUACAGGGUUACAUUAUCUAAUGUGUCCUUGUUAUGUAUUUAGCCCUUCUGUUACCAACCCAUCUAAGACCACAACUCCUUGAUUAGUGAUAUAAACUUCCUUUUUUAAAGUGAUCAAAUUUAAAAAAAAAAGGGGAUUUUAAUUAAAAUUUCAUGUUCAUUUAUGUUUGAAAUCCCAGCUUAAUUCUGAGACUGAUCCUUGGUUCUAAAUUAAAACCUCAUGUUAAUUAAUGUUUCAGACAUCAGCUUAAUGAUGACAGUUGUUUUUACUAAAUUCCUCAUUAUUUUUAAAAUUAAGUGAAACAAAAACAGUGGAUUUCAAUACAAAUGAAGUCAUAAAAGGGAGAUCUGGUUAUGAUUUCUUGUAGGAUGAACAUCCACAUAGAGGCUUCUUCACUGGUUCAAAAAGGAAACCCUUUCUAAAUAAAGUUCCUUGAAUGUUGUCUGCACAUUUCAUAACCUUACAACUAUGCACUGACUAUAUCCUCCUCCCUAGGGAACAGAAUUCUUCAUCAUUUUAUGUCUGCUUUCUAUGCUGGCAUUGGUUAGAUGAGUCAUUAAGGUCCAAGUGUGUUCUUAUUCAUAAUUAGUGUUCUUCUAGAUAUGUUGGAAGACCACAUCUGGCCUCUAUGUUUCAUUUUUGGCUCGAGAGUCUAAGUUGCAUGUCCUUCCUAUUAUUGAGCAUCUCACAGAAUAUUUUGGAUGCAUUUUAUCUUGGCACCAGCAUUAGAGAGGUUGUUAUGUUCUUGACAAGAUGAAAGGAUCUUGUCAACCCCACAUCAUCUCUGCUCAUUCACCAACAACUUCACAAAGUGCACCAGUGGAGUCGCCAAGUACCCCAUAUGAUUUAAAAGAGUCCUCAUUACUCUAUGAUGUAUUUUAUUUGUUCAGAGCAGCGUGGCCCAGAAGGAGAAUAGAAGAGAGAGUGUGUUGACUAAAGAAAAAAAAGUGAAUAGGAAAAGGGAACGAGAGAGAGAGAGAGAGAGGGUUAAUUGUGGAGGACUGAAGGUGGACAAUGGAGAGAGUGAGUGAUGGCUGUUGGUGAAGAGUUAACAGGUAAAAUCUGUAGGCUACAACCUGUUUGAAUUCUUUAUAAUACUAGAAAUCGUUAACCAACUAAAACAUACCUGUGCAACGCAAGUUUUAAUUAAACGUUUUUCUUUCUUCUUUUGUUUUUCUCUUUCACAGCAUCCUUGCAGGAUUUUUGAGAAGCCAUCCAGUAUCAGAAGUUUUUGAUGAAGAAAAUGAUGAUAGAAAUUUUUAAAGUGAAAGUUUCAAACUAUUUAUCUUCGGCUGGAAUAGUUUCCUGAAGACAUGAAAGACUGGUGCUGCAUCAUAUUUAUAUAAUUUCUUUCUUUGUUUGCAUUUACUAAUUAUUUAAGAUCAGGGAAAGCAAACUAAGGUUUGCUAACGAAUUUGAAAAAAAAGAAAUCAAAUAUAUAUGUAUUAAUAUAUAUAUUAUAUAUUAUAUAUAUGUAUAUAUAUAUCUAAAAUCAUGGCUAGUACAGAAAGUACA